Peromyscus eremicus (cactus mouse) is the source of this 2232-nucleotide long non-coding RNA. RefSeq lists it as uncharacterized. The transcript has 2 exons. The record is from RefSeq and is a predicted model, not a curated record. Lineage: Eukaryota; Metazoa; Chordata; Mammalia; Rodentia; Cricetidae.
AUUUCUAACACUUAAUGUAUUAAGUGUUGCUGACUAGUAUAAAAGAAAAUGUCUUUAUUUUUGAUAGAUUUGUCAUGUAAAAGGAAGAGCAUAAGCCCUGUCCCAGAAUUAAGUGAAGUAGAAUUUUGAGUAGAGCUUUUACAUUUUAUUCAAAAUCCAUUUGGACAACUAGGUGAUAUAAAUUGCCAUCAGAAAAAUUUUUGAGCAAGAUAAUUCUUAGGAAUGCAAAAACAUGAAUUCAUAAAUGUCCAUCCAGCAUAUGACAGUCAAUUUCUAAAGCACACUCUUUACAAAGGGAUGUGGUUUUUAUUUUUAGCAUUGUCUAUUGGUCUAUAUGUCAUUUAAAAGCUUCCUAUUGCAAUGUAUUACCUACCUGGAAGACAUUUCUUUACAAUUGCCUGCUUUGUUGUGUUGUGAGUCAUAACAGCUUUGACCCAUUGACAUAUACAAUACUAAGUGUAUCUUAAAUGGUCCUUACUUAAUUCUGUAUACUUCUAAUUUCAAGUAGCUACACUUCUUACUCCUUGAAGUACAUUUCCUUAAAUGCUAGAUAUGCUCAUGUAUCAUCACGAAGAAUACAUUUAGGUAUUUUAUGUACCAAAAUACUGAAAACUAAUAUAGCUUUAUUCUCUGGCAGCCUCUCCCAGCCCACCUCUUUUUUUUUUUUUAAUUAAAUCUCCUGAUUGUAUCUGCUCCACAACAAAUACUAUCAAACAGUUUAAAUGAAUUGAGGUAUUCUCAUCUCCCUUCCUAAAGAUCCAUGCUGAUUCUUAAAUGUUUCAUGAGAAAUUAAUAUCAUUCAAGGAUGUUAACAGUUUUACAACUAAAACUAUGCAAACACUUGCAUUCAUUUAUCAAAUAUAUAGAAUUUAUUGAGGUUCAGUGGCAUCUGAGCAAUGAAUAUCUUCAGAAUAUGUUCUGUUAUCCAGGAAACUGAUUACAGCUGGAGUGGUGAAGACAGAGGGAGGCAUCGAAGUGAUCUUAUAGUGUUUGGAUCUCUCUGUUUGUUUGAAAGUAAUUUUUGUUUGUUUUCAACUAAAAUUGCUGAUAUGUUUAAUCCAGUGCUUCAGCAACAGUUAGGUAGUUGUAAAGAUCUAAAAAGUUCUUUUUGUUUUUAAGCAAAAGAUUAUCAGUCAGCCAAAAUAUUAGGUUUUCAUGUAAUUUAAAAAAGAAAAAAGAAUUGUCCAUAAGCUAUCGAUCUUAAGUGAUAUGACUGAAAAGUUUACAGAAUAUUACAGAAAAAUGUCCUGGUCAUGUUGCUGAAUGGCGAAGUGUUUAGACAAUAAGUGCAGUGUCUGUAAAAGCCAGGGAACUUUCACAAUGGUUUCCAGACAACAUUUUCAUAUGUUGUUCUAAAUUCUCUUCACUGUAGCACAAACCUUCUGAAUUGUCUUCUUUCUGAGCACAUAGAAUAGCUGACGCUGUGUGUUAUGAAUAAGAAGAAAUUACUGAACUCUUGUUUGGUAACAAGAAUCCAGACACAACACAGCACAGUUUCAUAAAUCAAUUGUGUGCUUGGUCAGAAGAUGUGAAGCAUAGUUAGUUCACUUGACUCAGCACAGCAGAGGUUCUGUUUCUUCACAGAGUAGGCCGUGAGCUGUGUUCAGAUGCUGUCCUAAAAUGCUAGCCUCUAGAAAUAAGGAAUGAAUGUGGUGUUACUCUGCACAGAGCUUAGACAGGAGCCCUCCAAUUGUUUUCUUACUUUCAUAACUGAUUUUCUAAUGAGGAAUUAAUAAUUACGUAUUUUUUAACUAAACAACCUGGUUAAACACACACACAGUUACAAAAGUCAUACAUUAUCUUUAUGAAUGAUAUGAUAUAAAAUGAACUCUUUGAAAUGGCAUCUCGAAAUUGUUAUUAUAAUUCUUAAUUUAGAAUACUGAGCACCGAGUACUGUAGUUUUAUCAUACCUUGUUCUAUCCUUACAGAGAUACAGAAAAUAUGGAAAUGAAACAAAUAUAUGGAUAUUUUAAAACCUUUUUUUCCUUGUUAGAUAAAACAAAAGAGAAUUCUAGAAGCCUAAAGUGGGUGCAGAAUUCCCUGUUUUCCUCACAGCUGGAACAGGCUAAUUCCAAACAAAUGAAGAUUAAUGGACCAUCAGUAAUUACAUUUAUGUUCACACAUUUAAGUGAAAAAUGAAUUGUUGGUCAGAAAGCUAACAUCUUAAAUGUGCGACUUAAAUGUGUCUCUCCUUUUUAGAUACUGAAUAAAUAUCAACUAAUUGUUGAAUUA